This 242-nucleotide long non-coding RNA is filed under the name Manihot esculenta (cassava). Its description in RNAcentral is "long non-coding RNA (MESC_LNC012494)". The record is from RNAcentral. Lineage: Eukaryota; Viridiplantae; Streptophyta; Magnoliopsida; Malpighiales; Euphorbiaceae.
AUCUGCAAGAUUGACUGGAGUGCCACCUGAGGAUGAGGGCAUGAGCGCCCGUCCUCCUACAUUGCCUAGGGCAAUGUCAAGCAGGUCCAACAGGGACAGAACAGUAAGAGACCCUAGAAGGUCUUUGGAUCUGGGUAGAAGCAGAUCAGUCAGAGGAACAGUUCAGGGAGGAGCGUCAGAGGACAUGGGGGAUGAUAUGGAUGUAGAGCAGAGAAGGGAUGGUAGUUUGGGAGUUAGUAUGU